CCACGAGAGAAACACGUGUGACGAUCCCGCUUCCCCUCCUCUCCGCUCCGUUUCGUAUAUGCGCGAUGUUCGCCGCGAGUGACUAAAGAAGCCGAUACUUGUGAAAAACUUUAUAAUUGGAUGUGUUCAAUUGAGUGUCGUGUGAAUGUGGCAUAAGCAUAAGAAGUGCAUUGUUUGGAAGUGGUUUGACGGCAACCCGAGCCGGUUCUGUGGUCGGCACGAGCGGCCUGCCACCGGUACCGCUCGCCUGUGCUUUCUAAACGUUCCUCAGAGCGACGGCUGUAGCUGAGCUCUGUAUCGUCGACGGAUAUUCAAAGUGAACUUUUAGUCUGGCUUCCUACAGGCGCGCUCCGCCGCCGCCCGCCACAUGAGAGCGCGCCCGC
Pararge aegeria (speckled wood butterfly) is the source of this 383-nucleotide long non-coding RNA. RefSeq lists it as uncharacterized. The transcript is spliced from 3 exons. The record is from RefSeq and is a predicted model, not a curated record. NCBI's taxonomy places the organism in Eukaryota, Metazoa, Arthropoda, Insecta, Lepidoptera, Nymphalidae.